CUGUGACAGCUGCUCCCGCAGCAAUGCAGCUCGGGGAUGGCCUCGUUUGCAGUGUGCAGCGGUGGGGACAGCUAAUACUCAGAGUUUCUGAAGGUCUGAGCCUCACUCAUAGCCCCACCAAUAUCUGUCUGUUCUUGUGACCCUCGCAGGAACUUCACAGAGCAAGUAAGCAAACCCAGCAGAUGGAUCAGCCUCUGCACAGAUAGAUACUUUGCAAAGCUGUAUUCCUUUCUGGGAAAUCACUGACCUCACCAGACAUCCUCAGUGUUGCAGCAAGAGCCAGGCUGCAUUCCCAGUGAUGUUGAAUUGACUGCAUGUUUGACAGCCAUGUCACCUUCUCUGACAUCUAAGGAGGCAUUUCCUUUGCUCCCUGACCAGCAACUUG
Molecule: long non-coding RNA, 385 nt
Organism: Melospiza melodia melodia
Lineage: Eukaryota; Metazoa; Chordata; Aves; Passeriformes; Passerellidae
Exons: 4
Source: RefSeq, a predicted model, not a curated record